AAGGAGAAAAACUCAAGCUAACUUUAAUUCAGGUUGCUCUGGUCAGCUGUAGCCCAGCUGCUGCAUUGGAACUCUUCUGAAGGGUGAAAGGCAGGUUCAGGAGAAAAUCUCUUCAAGGAGGUUACAAGACAGAGAUUUUUCUUCCCUGGAUGGGAGGCAGGACAGAAGAGAGGAUUGAAGAACAAGUCAAGUUAUAGCAUCUCUGCUCAGGUGCCUAGCAGUCCCUCUCAGGCUUUGUGCUGCUCACUGGUUUGCACUCUGUCACCCACCCCCUGAAUGUGUAGCCUUGCAGGCAGACUUGACUGCCCAGACUGAGUCAACACAAUCUGUGAGAAUGAUUUCAUGCUGGCACAGUCUUAACCAGUAAAGAUGUCUAAAAUUCAUAUAAACCUUUACAGAGCUGCCAGUUAGAAAAAAGAAAUGUAAAAUAUCUAAAGGGUAAGUGAAAUAAAGAAGUAUG
This 460-nucleotide long non-coding RNA is filed under the name Cyanistes caeruleus (blue tit). RNAcentral's name for it is "lncRNA (ENSCCEG00000011732.1)". The record is from RNAcentral. Lineage: Eukaryota; Metazoa; Chordata; Aves; Passeriformes; Paridae.